This 1009-nucleotide long non-coding RNA is filed under the name Solanum tuberosum (potato). RNAcentral's name for it is "long non-coding RNA (STUB_LNC003504)". The record is from RNAcentral. Lineage: Eukaryota; Viridiplantae; Streptophyta; Magnoliopsida; Solanales; Solanaceae.
UCCCGAAAUGUCAGUUACACGCUUAAACUAUCAUGACGACCUAUUACACACUCAUUCUUGUUAAAACUGUAACUAAUACCACCUCAGAACUGACGUGGAAAUUUAAUUAAAUUAAAAAAUAAAAUAGGCGCGUUAGAGUCGAAAAUAAAGUCAAAAAAAAUAAAUUUUUGACCCCCACCCCCCCACUAUUCUCCUUCUUCGUGCUCAUCUUUUCUUAUUCUCCUUUAGAGUUCUUCUUCUUAAUUUUUUCUUGUCACAAUUCUACAAUUUCUCACUCAAUUUCAUCAUUACUUGAGAAUUCUCCACUAAUUUCUACCGAUUCACCAAGAAAAGUAAUUUGCUAAUCUAUAUUUUACAACCCAGUAACAUCAAAAGAACAUUGAAGUGUCUAACCCCUAAAUCCCCAAACCAUUAAUACCUAGAAAAGUUAAUUGUUCCCACCCCCAUAUAUCAAAAUUAUAAAUUUUACACAACAUUGCAAAUUUGAUAGAGCAGGGGUUUGGGUUCAAUGACGAUUUAUACAUAGCAAAAUCAAAAUUGGCUCGACAAUAUAAAAUUGAUCGGUAUCAAACUAAAAUAUUUAUUUCAAGUUUCACAACCCAUUACCAUCAAAACACUAAUAACUAAAAAAAAAUUCAAAACAAAACAUUACCAGUUAAGGUUCAUUUGACUCAUAUUUGAAAAACCCAGAAGAAAGGAAGGUGUUUAAAUAGGGCUAAGAAGCUAAGAAAGAUAAGUAUUGGGUUUAAAAUUCAUAUCAGUGAUGAUAACAAGUGGGAUGAAAUCGUAUUGGGUAAUAACUUUGAUUUAAUUUGAUAUCCAUGUCCCCACUCCUUCAGGAACAUUCCAAAUCGUUGCUACUCCGUCGAUUAACUUGUCUGUCGCAAUAGUUUGUAUUGUAUAUGUUAUAAUCAGAAGAAAUAAUUGAAAAUGGAGUCAUUCAGGUGAGGAAGAAGAGAAGAAAAUAAAGAAAAAAAUGGUGUCAUUCAAGUGAGGAAGAAGAGAGAAG